AAGGGUUACAAGGAAAGAAAGAACAAAUUUUGUAGGAAAUGCAAGUUACCGAGAGGGGCAUUGGAGUGUUUUUUUUAAAAAACAUUAUUGGAUUAAAUUUGCUAAAAUCUAAAAUUAAUUUAACUUGAUAAGUCUUGUAAGACUACAAGGGAUAAGGAAAAUAAAUAAAAAGCCACAUAGUAGGGCAAACAAGUAGCUGGGUGGAGGACUUUGAUGGGAGGAAAAAGUGUGCAACUUCGGCCAGAAAUUUAAGGUCUGAAAAAUGUGAUGGUUCUCCCAAAAUACUCGUGCAAAAGCUUCCAUAUUUAAACCAGAUUAAAGCUUAUUGAGUUGUGAGUCUAUUCUAGGGCUGCUCGAGAGAUUUGGGAUCGGAAAAAUGAAGAAAUCGUGAAAAUAGUGAAGGUUGCCCGGAAAACUGGAAAAUCCGAGUAAGGUGUAGUCCAGGAGAGAUUCUGAGCUCUGGAAUACGAGUUAAGAGCUGUAAUUUUGAGGUUAGUUAGCUUAAAGGUUUAUUAACAUAUUUCAUGAAGGAAGUAUGUGCAAAUUUUCGCUUUAAGUUGGGUUAAAAGUUGGUUAAAGUGAAACCAGUGUUUUCUCGAACAGGGUAGCAGCAGGCCAGCUCCCCCUAAGGCUGCCAGCCCCACCAGCGCGCCUCCUUCCGUGCCAGCGCCCUCAGCACGCAUUAGCCCAUUCAGCCCUGCCCACCCACGGCCAGCCUCGCCCACCCACGCCCACAGCCUGCGCCCAUGCCCAUUUCUAGUGCCCAAUUGCUUGUUUUAUAGCAUUUUGGGUGUUGGUCAAAUUGAAGUUGGAAAGGCUUACAACCCAAGGAGCUCGUGCCAGUGAUAAUAAACGAGCAAAGGAGACCAUCGGGAUGAUUCGGGUGCAUUUCAAGUCAAAACGGAGCAAGUAGAAGAAAAGGGAGCAAAAUUACAAUUUUGUCCUUGGAGGGAGUGCAAGGCUGCCCUUGCUCAGCGCCUUAUGCUGUGCGCAAAGGCAGAAUGCCCAAUUUGGCGAGAGUGUCACGGCACUCUCCAACAACGCAGUGCAACACUGCGUACGAGGUAUUUGGUCCGAUGGAUAUUACAGUCAAGGUUUAAAAUGUCGAUGGACAUACCAAGGUGUUAAUUCUAGUUUAUGGAAAUAUUGAUAAAUGUAGGUGUUGAUGGAUAUUUCUAAAAAAAUUUAAAAACAAAGAAUUUUCUUAAAAAAUUGUUAAAAAUUAGUAAAUAAACAUUUUAAGAUUUUUAAAAGGGGAAAAUAUCCUUUUGGUCCCUAAGUUUUUAAGAAUAGGUGCAUUUGGUCCCUAAUGUUUCAAAUUGGCCAUUUUAAUCCCCGAAUUUUUAAGAAUAGGUCUAAAAAGUCCCUCAACUGAAAGUCUUUUAAAUUUAAACAUAAAAUUGAUUAAAUACAAUAUGGCAAGAUGACUUGGAAAUAAAUAUAUUUUUUUAAUCUUUCUCAUUUCUCUCUCUCCUCUCUCUUCUCUCUCACCUCUUUCUUCAUCUUCUCCUCCUCUCCCUCCACUUUCUUGUCCUCACUCCUCCAUUUCCAUCUUCUCUCUUUAUCUCUCAUUUUUCUAUGAAGAAGCUCAUGAAAUUUGUUCACUUCUCUCUUCUUUCUAUUAUCUCUCUUAUCCUCUCUCCUCCGUCUCCAUCUUCUCUCUGUCUCUCAUUUUUAAAAACAAAAAAAAAAAGUUUUUACUGUGUUAAAGUAAUUUCUAUUAUUUAUUUUGAUUUUCUAUUUCUUUUUUAUUCUGAUUUUCUAAUUUUUUCCAGCUGUUUUCUCAUGGUGUUUACUGCUUUUUGUGUGUGUGUGUGUGUGUGUGUUUUCUAAAUAAAAAAAAAUUGCAUUUACUGGUUUUGGUGUUUUUCUUGGUGGCUUUUUUUCCCCUUUUUUGGUUGUUUCAAGAAUGGUUUUACGAUUCAACUAUUUUAAUUUAUAGAAAAUUAUAAUAAAAAUAGAAAUUACUUAUACAUAGUAUAUAGAAAAAUGAGAGAUAAAAGAGAGAAGAUAGAGAUGGAGAAGAGAGGACAAGGGAGAGAAGAAAUAAGAGAAAAAAAUAUGAGAUAAAGAAAAGAGAGAAGUGAGCAAAUUUCGUUAGCUUCUCCAUAGAAAAAUGAGAGACAGAGAUAAGAUGGAGAUGGAGGAGAGAGGACAAGAGAGUGAAGAGAGAGUGAAGAGAGAGAAGAGGAGAAGAUGAAGAGAGAGAAGAGAGAGAAGAGAGAAAUGAGAAAGAUUAAAAAAUAUAUUUGUUUCCAAGUCAUCUUGUCACAUCGUAUUUAAUCAUUUUUAUGUUUAAAUCUAAUAGACUUUUAGUUGAGGGACCUUUUAAACUUAUUCUUACAAACUCGGAGAUCAAAAUGGUCAAUUUGAAACAUUAGGGACCAAAUGCACUUUUAGUUGAGGGACCUUUUAAACUUAUUCUUACAAACUCGGAGAUCAAAAUGGUCAAUUUGAAACAUUAGGGACCAAAUGCACCUAUUCUUGAAAACUCAGGAACCAAAAGGGUAUUUUUCCCUUUUAAAAAAAUUAACUUGUUUAUUAUUGAUAUGAUUUUUAUAUUAAUGACAUUUUGUUGCAUAUAUUGUUAUCUUUCAUGAAUUUUUCUACGAUCUAAUGGACAUGCCGAUUUACCCAUCAUGUCGGUGUCAAACAAGUGGAAAUGUGGAAAUAUCGAUGGAAAUACCGAGAUGUCAAGAGAAAUGCAAUACAUGAUUACAGCAAGUAACAAACUGCAACGAAUUUUUAUAUUUUCAAUAGUUGAGCACCAGAAAUUUCUAAACAUUUUGACUUUAGUCCAUACCAACACUAUUCACCAAACUACUCUUAGCUUAUAUUCUUUUCCAACCAUUAAGUACAAAAUGAU
Molecule: non-coding RNA, 2866 nt
Organism: Benincasa hispida (wax gourd)
Lineage: Eukaryota; Viridiplantae; Streptophyta; Magnoliopsida; Cucurbitales; Cucurbitaceae
Source: RefSeq, a predicted model, not a curated record